ACGCGCACACCGAGGCGGUCCCGGGCCAGGCAGGGCUCCGGGCACCUCCAAGGCCUUCUCACGGCUGGACCCGGCAGGGUCUCCACGGGGUCAAGUGUGGGCCUUUGAUGUUUAUGGCAAAACCACCUGCGUCUUGAGCCGCCAUGUGGCUGCCAGACUGCGGAGCGGCUGGCGAUGACUCAGAAAUUCCGGGCGGGUCCUCUAAUGGCUGGAGCGCUGGCUUUCGACCACACGGUAAUAACUUGGCCGCCUGCUCCAUCUCUUAAUAUUAAAACGUGAGAUCGCUCAUAUAUUCAUGUCUGUGCUUUGUAAACCCGAUAUUACACAUGACCGAUACCAAAAUAGCUCCAAGUGUAUGUAUUUCAAAGGAAAUGGAGUCCUCGGGCCGCAGCGAACUUAAAAGGCGCCGGAGGAAAGGGUAGGACGCGCCGUUGUUACUGCAAGUUCGAAGAAAUGCUGGGGCCUUUAAGAGAUGAAGUUCGUUCUGUCGAAAACGUUUAAAUGUUAUGUAGAACCCCCAGAGCGUUUCUGCGUUUGGACUAAUGAUCUGCUCAGAGUUCUGACAGUCAUCCCGUUUCUCCCCCUAAGAUUCUAUAGUCCAUCAUCGGACGUGCUGUGAUCCUCCCUGGUUCUAGAAUUCCCACCUCCUUUAGUCCUAAAGCUUCCUGAAGCCACAAUGCCAUUCUGGCCCUCUGCCCUCUGCCCUCUGCCCUCUGGAAGCCUCUGCGGGUGCCCAGCGUGAGCUCACUGUCCGAGCUCACCGUCUAGCUCCUAAAUGCUCGGCCGCCUUGUCUCAGACGAGCCUCGUAGGAGAGAACUGGGUCUCAGGAUCCUGCAACCGAGGUGUGUGUCCUUCACCGGAAUCAAACCCAGGACCCUUCGGAUCCACGGAGACAAACCGGCUCAUUUUAUCGCCACCUCCGCCUUUCAUUGGCCUGGGGCCUCCGUUUCCCUGACCCACUCCUUCUCCCCGGGCUUCGAAGGGCACGCACCACAUGAGCCGGGGCUCCUUCUGCGCGUCCUGUCGAUUCAUCAGGUAAACUCCAGAUACCUGCUCCCCGUCCGGGCUUCUGCCUGGCCCACCUCUGGUUUAUCUUCCCCCUGUAUCGCCCCUUCUUCAAAACUCAGCUCCACCCCCAGCUGCUCUCACCUAAAGCACGUGGAGCUGAGCACCUGGGACCAUCUUACCUGGACCCGGAGCGCUCUGUGCAGACACCACCUCCAGGGAAGACCUGCGGGGCCGGUGAUGCUCGUCCAGAUUUUCAGAACUCAGGGGCGGGGCAGACACCUCUGGGGAGAGGAGAGGGGAGACCUGCCUGCAGGUGCACCCCGCACAGGAGCAGUGGUGCAGCUCUCGCUGAUUCCGGCCGACCUUGAACUACGUGAACAAUGAGAUCGACUGCACUUGGUUUGCAGGUUUCCAGACAAAGAUUCGCCUGGGGGGGAGGAGAGGACCCUGCACUAUCUCUCUGGUUCACCUCCCCUCCGUCGGGCACUUUCUACCCAGGAGUCAGCCAGUCCAUGUUUGGGCCUCCCUCCUGGCUGGUGGACCCCGUGGGCUCUGAGCUGUCCAUGCUGCUUUCCGGGGGGGGGGGGGGGGGGGGGGGGGGGCAGUCCUUGCAAAAUUUGAGCAUCUCCCCGUGUCUCCAGGCAGGUGCCUAAAGAUGGUCACCUGUAACGUAAGCAGGUUGUGUAUUUAAUUAGCUUUGGUGUCUACUAAACACUGCAGCGCCUCUGGACAAAGGCCCCCCCCCCCCCCCCCCCGGGCCAGUCUAGGUCUCGGGGAGCUGGCAUUUGCUGGGGCUGCCCGUGAGACGAUGCUGCAAAGGACCUGCAGCCACUCGGGGCGCAUGGGCGCUGGCGUUCCUCACCGCGAGUUUCCUGCUCGUGAGAUGAGACCAGCACCAAGUCAUGCGGGGUGCGACCCACAGAUGACUCGUGGAGGCAUCUUACGUUUCCAUCACCUUGUAAACUCAUGGCUCCCAACUUGGCUGCGUGUUCGAAUCGCCCAGGAGAUUUUCAAAGGCUUAGCACCCUGCUGCAGGCCCCACUGCGUCAGUGUUUCUGGAGGCGGAUGCUGGUGUCAGUAUUGUUCUAACACGCCCUCCAGUUUUGAUGCAACUCUAGCUUGUUAUCACCAGCGAUGAAAAGCGGGCCUCCUGGCCGAUGUGGUUCCUUCGGGCCGGGCUGGGACACGGGAUCCUCUGGGCAGAGGCAGGCACGGACAAAUGGUCCCUCCCUCCUCUCAGCACCUAGGACCUGUGCAUGGGUCCGGGACUGCGCUGCAACUCGGAAAGACGGAGAGGACUGAUCUGGUGGGCGGAAAAGCUGCUGAGCUAUGGAGACGUGUCCUGGGUUCCACCCCUCACAGCUGCGUUUAUCGACAGAGAUCCGCAUCUACUGCACAAGCGUCAUGGAUGUCAGUUCUGGGCCCCAGGUGGCCAUGUUGGAAGGUCUUGGCGCUACCUGGUCGACUGAAGAUCACUGGAGUAUUAUAUCAUCACCACAAGAGUAGAAUCCAUAGAGCUAAAGUGUGGUGUGCCUGUGCUGGUGGCAAUGUUUUCAAGGUGUGUGUGUAUAUAUAUAUAUUUUUUGCUAGCAGCUUCACACUUUGCAUAGGGUGCUUUGCCCAGACAGAGAGGGGGUGCCCUAACUAUUUGCUGAAGGAAAAGAGGGGCAUGUGUUUCUCCACAAUUUCCCAAUAAUUUGUCCUCUGUUUGAGAGGUAGGCAGUUGUCAGUGAAUGGACCGGAUUGACACAAUCAUAAUUUUCUAUUUGGAGGUAAACACACAGCAACGGAGUGACCCCUGAGGGUAAGCAUCCAAGGCCACAGCGUGCUGUGCCCUGUGUGAGAAAGGCCAAGAAUCGCUGCGAUACACGGUAUCAUUGGCUACAUGUGAACGAUGCUGAUUUUGCACCAAAAAAGAGCUUUCUCUGAAAUUUUCUUGCUUAUCUUAGAGCCACACUAAGAAUUAUAUAUUAAAGGGUGAAAAUAA
This is a long non-coding RNA of Myotis brandtii (Brandt's bat), 2996 nucleotides long. RefSeq lists it as uncharacterized. Lineage: Eukaryota; Metazoa; Chordata; Mammalia; Chiroptera; Vespertilionidae. The transcript has 5 exons. The record is from RefSeq and is a predicted model, not a curated record.